AAGAUAUUCUCAGUCUUAGUUACAUCUUUAACUACUCAUCCAACAUGGGUGGAUUGUCUCUCUUUUCUUUAAAGAACAAGCUGGCAAUAGUCUAUAGUGUUGAACAAUGUUUAACAAUAAUUAAACAAUGUUGAUCUUUCAGUAGGUCCUUAAUUAGAAUAUUUCAUUUUGAUUUAUUUUCUAAAAACAUCCAAGCUGAACACCGCAGUUUGUUUUUAGCAAAUCUCACCAAUUAGUACAUUUGAAUACGACUGCAAUUAAAGUCUAUGGCACAGAGGAACAAGCUUCAUCGGGUUCAAGAUAUGGGCACAACAUGUUUUGUGCACAACAGAAUGAAAAGAAAAAAAGACAACAGGGUGUAAAAACAGCCAAUACACAGUUAACAGAAAGAAAUACCUGUGCUUAAAAAGUACAAAACAUUGAUUGAGUAACUUAUAUUGAGUGCAAAGACAUAGUACUGCACACUAUACUAUGUUUCACUUACAAAAGUGCUGCUGUGAGUACUUAGAGUUUCAUGCAGGAUUGCAAAUUAUGCAUAUGUGCUGAUCUCAGCUCUCUGUUCCCAUGCUUAUUGUUUAGGGUCAUACUAUAGGUGCGGCUAGAGUACAGUACACAUCAACCUAGUGGAGCUAUCUGUGGAUUGGUUUGCUGUUAUCCCAGGAAAUAAUACCAGAAUCUGCUGUGAUAUUUAUUUUCGAGGCAGAUAAUAUCAGUACAAUUCCCACCAAUACUAGUUGAUGCUAACUUUCAUUUUGUGAUAUUUUUCAACAUUAUAUAUAUUGCUUUAGCCUUUGUAAUCACGUGGUGUGUUGACCAUACAGAAACACACAAUAGUGCUGUGAAAAGUCCACACAUUAGACUCAUUCUGAUACAGUUGCACAUCUGACACAGAUAAUAAAGCUUUAGUGAUACAUUCUAAACCGUGAACUAUUUCACUGGCACUUUAAUUCCCUACUCCUUAGCGCCAGCUGCUUGAUCAGAUUAAAGGGAGCAGAAAAGGGAACUAUUUUUGCCACUUUGCUCUGCGUAGACAAACGUUAUAACGUGGCUAUAACGAAAGAUUGCUCCAAAACGUUAUAUCUAGAGGCGAUUCUGGACCUGUGCAGCCCCUCCAGAAAGCCUCCCUCCCUGAGCUCUCUCAGUAGCUGCCCACUACAAACAUGUGUUGCACCAGAGCUCUCAGUGUCUCUCAACUUCCUGUCUAAAUCUACUCUCUUCGUCUUCUCGUGCCGUUGCUGAGAUGGAUGUUCAGAGAGGCGGGAUAAG
Long non-coding RNA from Notothenia coriiceps (black rockcod), 1266 nucleotides. RefSeq lists it as uncharacterized. The record is from RefSeq and is a predicted model, not a curated record. Lineage: Eukaryota; Metazoa; Chordata; Actinopteri; Perciformes; Nototheniidae. The transcript is spliced from 3 exons.